AGCGAGUUAACUUCAGUGGUAGAAUCUAGGGCUCAUAUCCCUAGACGCAUCGGUUCGAUUCCGGUACUCGCCU
RNAcentral lists this transfer RNA (73 nucleotides) under Citrobacter phage CkP1. RNAcentral's name for it is "tRNA-Met". It matches the Rfam family "tRNA". From Rfam's summary of the family: Transfer RNA (tRNA) molecules are approximately 80 nucleotides in length. Their secondary structure includes four short double-helical elements and three loops (D, anti-codon, and T loops). The record is from RNAcentral. Lineage: Duplodnaviria; Heunggongvirae; Uroviricota; Caudoviricetes; Pantevenvirales; Straboviridae.